Molecule: RNA transcript, 3033 nt
Organism: Cornus florida
Lineage: Eukaryota; Viridiplantae; Streptophyta; Magnoliopsida; Cornales; Cornaceae
Gene name: zinc finger CCCH domain-containing protein 12-like
Exons: 4
Source: RefSeq, a predicted model, not a curated record
UGUUGAAGUUGUUCUGCACAACUCUGCUCCCUCUCUCUCGCGUGGCCUCCAUUACGCAACUCUGCUCUCUCUGUGGCGUCGAAGCCCUAGCUUUCUCUCUUUGUCCCCUCUAUAGCGCGAAAAAAGCUCUCCCUCAUUGAAAUCUCUCUCUCAAACCUACAGAUUCACUUUUGCUCCCUCAAUGUUGGUCUCUAUUUGCCAGCGACGACACACAGAGAAAGAGACCCUAUCUAUACUGGGCAUAUGCAAGAGCAGCACCUUCGGCAACUGCUAUGUGGAAUUAUUCAGUGGAUUGAUCCUCCUGAUGCCAUCUCAAAAACAAUCGAUUGUGGAAAAAGUGAAAGUGAGAUGCUUGAUGGUUGCCAUGCACUUCUGUUAAUAACAACGGUAACUAAUCCCUUUGUGUUUAACCAACUUUUGAAAUCUAUACUAUCAGCUUUGCAAUAUUCUCUUGUGGCCCUUCAAUAUAUAUCUUUAAUUUAAUGUUUUUUGUUAAUUACAGUUGCAUUCACAUUACAAUGUCCUUUUAUGACAUAUUUAUUUUGUUCACAAUUUUACAUAAGUUGACUCUUUACCUUCAUGUUCAGCCCUUUUGGCACUCUUAGCCUGUUGUCUGGCUUGAUGUGUGAAGUUAUAAAAGUUCUUAUGGUAAAAUACACUGAAGAGGAGACAUGGAGUUGGGUGGCAUGUGAUACUUUAUUAGAUACCUGGACGGCACUUCUUGUGUUAUAUGUUCCAUUAUUUACUUUUUCAGUAUCUUGUCACAUGUGCAUGCAAUUCUGAAAACACUCUCAUUCUUUCAUUUAUCAGUAUAUUUGGAAAGAAACGUUGGGCAAUUUGAUGGUUAUUUUCUUCCAAAUCCUCAUUCUGCGUUAGAAGCAUUGUUAUUAUAGGUAAAUAUUAUCAAGUAUUAUUGGUGUAAGAUGAGGUUUGAAAAAUAUGAUAGUUGCUUUAUUAAGUACAUUUUUCUUCCUCUACUAGUCUAAUAGCAGCUCAUAAACUUAAAGUUUUGCCAUUCAUCCACAACUAUUGUGUAUUACUGGUCAAAAUAUAUUACUUCCACCAGAAGGGAUAAAUGCGGUAGCCAAUCUCUUUGCCUUGAUUGUAGAGUCUGAAUUAAAGGGUAACUAUGAUGUUUAUACUCUAUUUUGCUUUUCUUUUACUUAUUUAAUGAUUAUUAUUGGUAACUCUGAUGUUUAUUUUGGUAAAAAAAAAUAUAUAAUUUGUGGAAUUUCAAAAAUGUAAAUGUAAUGAGUAUUAAUGUCAAAUAGCUAAGGUUGUAUUGUAAUUAAUAGCCUUUUAACUUUCUGAUAUAUAGAUUAGGACCAUUCUUGAAUAAACACAGAGUGACAUUUGGGAAUAGAUCAUCUUCCUAUUGUAUACUGUAAGAUAGACAUACUUCUAUAAAUAAACUUUGAGAAUGAAGGGCAGAUUCAGAACAAUUCGUGUUCCCUUUUUAUGCUUUUAUCUUCCUUAAUCAGGUCUUUAGAACCUUUUAUUUGGGAUAAGCCCUAAUUGAAAGAUCUAAUUUUUUUAUUUUCUUUGUCUUACUAUACAAUUUUCUUAGUAUUUAUUUUUUUGUUGUCAUCCUUGUAUUAGCGUGUGUUUUGCUGCCUCAUAUUUGGUCCAACAAAGUGUAGUUGAUGUCAUAGUCAACUCAACUUCACUCCAUAACUCCUGCUCCCACCUUUUUGUUGCCUUGUGUUUUUGAACAUAUAGGAACCUAUAAAACAAUUGAGUGAUGUUAUAUAGUAUUAUUUAAUGAAAUAUUUCCUGUUAUAUAUGUGCUUUAGUUUGAUGAACUUUUGGCAUAAUAAAAAAUAAUAUUGCAAGUGGACUUGUGUAUUUAUGAAAUAAGUUUAAGUUUACUCAACUAGCUUUAUUGUUUAAUUUUACAUAUGUAAGAAAACUCUUAGUACUUCUUUCCAGAAAAAGAAUUGUUUGUACUUUUGUCUACUUGGCAAUUGCUUCAACAUUAUACAAUACAAAGUUAUCUUGGAGCCUUCAUUUAUAUUUUUCUUUGCUGGUCCCUUCAGUUCUUAAUGUUUAAGGUCUGUUUAUAUUUCACUUAAAUUUGAUCUUGUUACAUAUUUUUUUUUUUUUUUUUUAAAUCUGGAUCAAAAUUUAUUGUUUGUAUGAGUCACAUUAUUGGCAGUUUUUGGAGUACCAGCACAUUUACAAUUUACCUUAUGAAAUUUUUUAUAUGAUCCAUAUAUUUGAUCCAUCUUUUUGUGUAUCUUAUCUUUCUUCUCAAUGAGACCAGAUUUAUAUAGCAAAAAUGGAUUGUUGCAGUUCUUUUCAUGGUACAGUUCUUGUCUACGCCAGCGAGUCAUGAAGCAUGAGCUAUCUUUUAGCAGUGUUCUUGGACCCAAUGUUAUUUACAACUCCAAGAACCAAGGUGAUUCAGGUUCCGGUGGACACUUGCAUAUGUUGUCUACAUCAGUUCUUCAUCGACCUGAGCGACCUGAUCAACCUGAAUGCCGAUAUUUCAUUAGCAUUGGGAGCUGCAAAUAUGGAUCUGAUUGCAAGUACAAUCAUCUUAUGAAGAGAAGCUCAGCUAUUCAUCUUUCAGCGAUAGUCAGCACCAUUGCCACAACCACCUGAAUGACCAAUUUGAUUGUCUUCUCUUUAGUGAAUUGAAUAUUAAAGACAUUUAAGCAGUCUUGCUGAAUAUUUAGUUAAUACUGUGUAAUCUUCUUGGUUAUUGGAUUAUUUGAGUUGGUAUGUUUUGUUGAAUAUUUGGCUAAUUGUAUUGUGUUGUAAACAUUAUAUUGUGAUAAUGGUUUAUUUUGUUAUAAAAAAAAAUAAAAAUAAAAAUAAAAACACAAAAUCUAGCACAGCCAAUAAUAAUAAUAAUAAAUUAAUUAAUAAAUAAAUAAAGCAUUAGGUACAGUUUCUGAGUUUCCUAAAUGUCACAAAUAUAAUAAAAAAUUAAAAAAAUAAAGCAUUAGGGACAAUAUUAUUUGGGACAGUAAGUCCGUUUCUAAAGGUUGAGCUUUUUGGUGACAAUCAAUUUUUUUUCGUCCCUAAAAA